GCCUGGCUGGCUCAGUUGGUGAAGUGUGUGACUCUUAAUCUUGGGGUCAUGAGUUCAAGUCCCAUGUUGGGCA
This 73-nucleotide transfer RNA is filed under the name Felis catus (domestic cat). It matches the Rfam family "tRNA". Rfam says of the family: Transfer RNA (tRNA) molecules are approximately 80 nucleotides in length. Their secondary structure includes four short double-helical elements and three loops (D, anti-codon, and T loops). Further hydrogen bonds mediate the characteristic L-shaped molecular structure. tRNAs have two regions of fundamental functional importance: the anti-codon, which is responsible for specific mRNA codon recognition, and the 3' end, to which the tRNAs corresponding amino acid is attached (by aminoacyl-tRNA synthetases). tRNAs cope with the degeneracy of the genetic code in two manners: having more than one tRNA (with a specific anti-codon) for a particular amino acid; and 'wobble' base-pairing, i.e. permitting non-standard base-pairing at the 3rd anti-codon position. Lineage: Eukaryota; Metazoa; Chordata; Mammalia; Carnivora; Felidae. The record is from Rfam by way of RNAcentral. RNAcentral also lists the same sequence under 4 other names.